Molecule: long non-coding RNA, 306 nt
Filed under: Gossypium barbadense (sea-island cotton)
Lineage: Eukaryota; Viridiplantae; Streptophyta; Magnoliopsida; Malvales; Malvaceae
Description: long non-coding RNA (GBAR_LNC019155)
Source: RNAcentral
AAUAUUAAUACACAAAUUAGAUUGGAAACACCGAAAGCAAAUUGAAGCUACCUAAGCACAACAAAUUAAUCCGACAAAUUAUUAUUGAAUAUUAAAUACGAUAGAAAAAUUAAUAAACACAAAUAAAAUAAUAUAGGAGAGAACACAUUAAAUUUAUAAGGCUCAACAAAUUUCCUAUAUCUUCAAGCACACCGACGCCGAAUGAUAAUUUCACUAAUACCAAAAAAAUUACAAACUAAUGGAACCCUUCAUUAAAAGGAUUACCCAAAUGUAUACUAAAAUAUACCAAAAAAUGGGAGAACAAUU